RNAcentral lists this transfer RNA (64 nucleotides) under Halicryptus spinulosus. RNAcentral's name for it is "tRNA-Arg". Lineage: Eukaryota; Metazoa; Priapulida; Priapulimorpha; Priapulimorphida; Priapulidae. The record is from RNAcentral.
AGCCUAGAAGUAUUUAGAUACAUUUAAUUUCGGCUUAAAAAAAGGUUGUAAAAGCCCUAGGUUA